This 865-nucleotide ribosomal RNA is filed under the name Gongromeriza myriocarpa. RNAcentral's name for it is "Chaetosphaeria myriocarpa partial large subunit ribosomal RNA". It matches the Rfam family "Eukaryotic large subunit ribosomal RNA", at positions 107 to 1008 of the family's 3401-position model. Lineage: Eukaryota; Fungi; Ascomycota; Sordariomycetes; Chaetosphaeriales; Chaetosphaeriaceae. The record is from RNAcentral.
GCUCAAAUUUGAAAUCUGGCCCCAGGCCCGAGUUGUAAUUUGCAGAGGAUGCUUCGGGCGCGGUGCCUUCCAAGUCCCCUGGAACGGGGCGCCAUGGAGGGUGAGAGCCCCGUAUGGUCGGACACCAAGCCUAUGUGAAGCUCCUUCGACGAGUCGAGUAGUUUGGGAAUGCUGCUCUAAAUGGGAGGUAGACCCCUUCUAAAGCUAAAUACCGGCUAGAGACCGAUAGCGCACAAGUAGAGUGAUCGAAAGAUGAAAAGAACUUUGAAAAGAGGGUUAAACAGCACGUGAAAUUGUUAAAAGGGAAGCGCUUGUGACCAGACUUGUGCCGGGGCGAUCAUCUGGCGUUCUCGCCGGUGCACUCGCCCCGGCCCAGGCCAGCGUCGGUUCGGGAGGGGGGACAAGGACGUUGGGGACGUGGCUCCUCCGGGAGUGUUACAGCCCAGCGUGUCAUGCCCCCGCCCGGACCGAGGUUCGCGCUCUGCAAGGACGCUGGCGUAAUGGUCAUCAGCGGCCCGUCUUGAAACACGGACCAAGGAGUCGAGGUUCUGCGCGAGUGUUUGGGUGCCAAACCCGCACGCGUAAUGAAAGUGAACGUAGGUGGGAGCCUCGGCGCACCACCGACCGAUCCUGAUGUUUUCGGAUGGAUUUGAGUACGAGCGUUGGGCCUCGGACCCGAAAGAUGGUGAACUAUGCUUGGAUAGGGUGAAGCCAGAGGAAACUCUGGUGGAGGCUCGCAGCGGUUCUGACGUGCAAAUCGAUCGUCAAAUCUGAGCAUGGGGGCGAAAGACUAAUCGAACCAUCUAGUAGCUGGUUACCGCCGAAGUUCCCUCAGGAUAGCAGUGUUGUUUUCAGUUUUAUGAGG